RNAcentral lists this ribosomal RNA (433 nucleotides) under uncultured bacterium. Its description in RNAcentral is "partial 16S ribosomal RNA". It matches the Rfam family "Bacterial small subunit ribosomal RNA", at positions 28 to 505 of the family's 1533-position model. The record is from RNAcentral.
GAUGAACGCUGGCGGUAUGCUUAACACAUGCAAGUCGAACGGACUCUUCGGAGUUAGUGGCGGACGGGUGAGUAACGCGUGAGAAUCUGGCUUUGGGUUCGGGACAACCACUGGAAACGGUGGCUAAUACCGGAUGUGCCGAGAGGUAAAAGAGAAAUUGCCUGAAGAUGAGCUCGCGUCUGAUUAGCUAGUUGGUGAGGUAAAGGCUCACCAAGGCAGCGAUCAGUAGCUGGUCUGAGAGGAUGACCAGCCACACUGGGACUGAGACACGGCCCAGACUCCUACGGGAGGCAGCAGUGGGGAAUUUUCCGCAAUGGGCGAAAGCCUGACGGAGCAGUACCGCGUGAGGGAAGAAGGCUCUUGGGUUGUAAACCUCUUUUCUUAGGGAAGAACAAAAUGACGGUACCUAAGGAAUCAGCAUCGGCUAACUCCG